Molecule: ribosomal RNA, 468 nt
Filed under: uncultured bacterium
Lineage: Bacteria
Description: partial 16S ribosomal RNA
Rfam family: Bacterial small subunit ribosomal RNA
Source: RNAcentral
GACGAACGCUGGCGGCGUGCUUAACACAUGCAAGUCGAACGGAAAGGCCCUGCUUUUGUGGGGUGCUCGAGUGGCGAACGGGUGAGUAACACGUGAGUAACCUGCCCUUGACUUUGGGAUAACUUCAGGAAACUGGGGCUAAUACCGGAUAGGAGCUCCUGCUGCAUGGUGGGGGUUGGAAAGUUUCGGCGGUUGGGGAUGGACUCGCGGCUUAUCAGCUUGUUGGUGGGGUAGUGGCUUACCAAGGCUUUGACGGGUAGCCGGCCUGAGAGGGUGACCGGCCACAUUGGGACUGAGAUACGGCCCAGACUCCUACGGGAGGCAGCAGUGGGGAAUAUUGCACAAUGGGCGGAAGCCUGAUGCAGCAACGCCGCGUGCGGGAUGACGGCCUUCGGGCUGUAAACCGCUUUCGCCUGUGACGAAGCGUGAGUGACGGUAAUGGGUAAAGAAGCAUCGGCUAACUACGUG